UACGAAGGGGGCUAGCGUUGCUCGGAAUCACUGGGCGUAAAGGGUGCGUAGGCGGGUCUUUAAGUCAGGGGUGAAAUCCUGGAGCUCAACUCCAGAACUGCCUUUGAUACUGAGGAUCUUGAGUUCGGAAGAGGUGAGUGGAACUGCGAGUGUAGAGGUGAAAUUCGUAGAUAUUCGCAAGAACACCAGUGGCGAAGGCGGCUCACUGGUCCGAUACUGACGCUGAGGCACGAAAGCGUGGGGAGCAAACAGG
Molecule: ribosomal RNA, 253 nt
Filed under: uncultured bacterium
Lineage: Bacteria
Description: partial 16S ribosomal RNA
Rfam family: Bacterial small subunit ribosomal RNA
Source: RNAcentral